RNAcentral lists this long non-coding RNA (305 nucleotides) under Eucalyptus grandis. RNAcentral describes it as "long non-coding RNA (EGRA_LNC003709)". Lineage: Eukaryota; Viridiplantae; Streptophyta; Magnoliopsida; Myrtales; Myrtaceae. The record is from RNAcentral.
AGAAAACUUACUGACAAUUAAUGAAUACAAGUGAUUGGAGACGAGUACAAGUGAUCAAAGAUAUCGAGAAGUGAUUACAAGUGAUUGGGGGUGAUUACAAGUGAUCAAAGAUAUCUAGAAGUGAUUACAAGUGAUUGGGGGUGAUUACAAGUGAUCAAAGGGUGAUUAAAAGUGAUUGAGAACUGAUUACAAGAGGGUACACAUGAUUAAUAGUGGAUUUGGUAUGAAAGUGUUGGGUUGUGAUCAAAGGAAGCUUAAUGGACAUAAGUGAGCAAGAGAGAUUGGAGGCUUGAAUGUAAGGUUGC